Molecule: ribosomal RNA, 604 nt
Filed under: Lodderomyces parapsilosis
Lineage: Eukaryota; Fungi; Ascomycota; Pichiomycetes; Serinales; Debaryomycetaceae
Description: eukaryotic LSU rRNA
Rfam family: Eukaryotic large subunit ribosomal RNA
Source: RNAcentral
UGCAUAUCAAUAAGCGGAGGAAAAGAAACCAACAGGGAUUGCCUUAGUAGCGGCGAGUGAAGCGGCAAAAGCUCAAAUUUGAAAUCUGGCACUUUCAGUGUCCGAGUUGUAAUUUGAAGAAGGUAUCUUUGGGUCUGGCUCUUGUCUAUGUUUCUUGGAACAGAACGUCACAGAGGGUGAGAAUCCCGUGCGAUGAGAUGUCCCAGACCUAUGUAAAGUUCCUUCGAAGAGUCGAGUUGUUUGGGAAUGCAGCUCUAAGUGGGUGGUAAAUUCCAUCUAAAGCUAAAUAUUGGCGAGAGACCGAUAGCGAACAAGUACAGUGAUGGAAAGAUGAAAAGAACUUUGAAAAGAGAGUGAAAAAGUACGUGAAAUUGUUGAAAGGGAAGGGCUUGAGAUCAGACUUGGUAUUUUGUAUGUUACUCUCUCGGGGGUGGCCUCUACAGUUUACCGGGCCAGCAUCAGUUUGAGCGGUAGGAUAAGUGCAAAGAAAUGUGGCACUGCUUCGGUAGUGUGUUAUAGUCUUUGUCGAUACUGCCAGCUUAGACUGAGGACUGCGGCUUCGGCCUAGGAUGUUGGCAUAAUGAUCUUAAGUCGCCCGUCUUGA